Non-coding RNA from Potamilus streckersoni, 71 nucleotides. The record is from the annotation of a GenBank genome assembly. Lineage: Eukaryota; Metazoa; Mollusca; Bivalvia; Unionida; Unionidae.
GCUCCGGUGGCCUAGUGGUUAGAGCGUCGGCUUCGGAUGCGGAAGUUUGUUGGUUCGACCCCCGUCGAGUU